Molecule: ribosomal RNA, 261 nt
Filed under: uncultured Leptotrichia sp.
Lineage: Bacteria; Fusobacteriati; Fusobacteriota; Fusobacteriia; Fusobacteriales; Leptotrichiaceae
Description: partial 16S ribosomal RNA
Rfam family: Bacterial small subunit ribosomal RNA
Source: RNAcentral
CAUGGCGGACGGGUGAGUAACGCGUAAAGAACUUGCCCUUUAGACUGGGAUAACAGAGGGAAACUUCUGAUAAUACUGGAUAAGUUAGUAUAUCGCAUGAUAUGCAAAUGAAAGCUACGGCACUAAAGGAGAGCUUUGCGUCCUAUUAGCUAGUUGGUAAGGUAAGAGCUUACCAAGGCGAUGAUAGGUAGCCGGCCUGAGAGGGUGGACGGCCACAAGGGGACUGAGAUACGGCCCUUACUCCUACGGGAGGCAGCAGGG